This 497-nucleotide ribosomal RNA is filed under the name uncultured bacterium. RNAcentral's name for it is "partial 16S ribosomal RNA". It matches the Rfam family "Bacterial small subunit ribosomal RNA", at positions 28 to 507 of the family's 1533-position model. The record is from RNAcentral.
GAUGAACGCUGGCGGCGUGCCUAAUACAUGCAAGUCGAGCGAACAGACGAGGAGCUUGCUCCUCUGACGUUAGCGGCGGACGGGUGAGUAACACGUGGAUAACCUACCUAUAAGACUGGGAUAACUUCGGGAAACGGGAGCUAAUACCGGAUAAUAUAUUGAACCGCAUGGUUCAAUAGUGAAAGACGGUUUUGCUGUCACUUAUAGAUGGAUCCGCGCCGCAUUAGCUAGUUGGUAAGGUAACGGCUUACCAAGGCAACGAUGCGUAGCCGACCUGAGAGGGUGAUCGGCCACACUGGAACUGAGACACGGUCCAGACUCCUACGGGAGGCAGCAGUAGGGAAUCUUCCGCAAUGGGCGAAAGCCUGACGGAGCAACGCCGCGUGAGUGAUGAAGGUCUUCGGAUCGUAAAACUCUGUUAUUAGGGAAGAACAAAUGUGUAAGUAACUAUGCACGUCUUGACGGUACCUAAUCAGAAAGCCACGGCUAACUACGUG